UAGGGAAUCUUCGGCAAUGGACGGAAGUCUGACCGAGCAACGCCGCGUGAGUGAAGAAGGUUUUCGGAUCGUAAAGCUCUGUUGUAAGAGAAGAACGAGUGUGAGAGUGGAAAGUUCACACUGUGACGGUAUCUUACCAGAAAGGGACAGCUAACUACGUGCCAGCAGCCGCGGUAAUACGUAGGUCCCGAGCGUUGUCCGGAUUUAUUGGGCGUAAAGCGAGCGCAGGCGGUUAGAUAAGUCUGAAGUUAAAGGCUGUGGCUUAACCAUAGUAGGCUUUGGAAACUGUUUAACUUGAGUGCAAGAGGGGAGAGUGGAAUUCCAUGUGUAGCGGUGAAAUGCGUAGAUAUAUGGAGGAACACCGGUGGCGAAAGCGGCUCUCUGGCUUGUAACUGACGCUGAGGCUCGAAAGCGUGGGGAGCAAACAGGAUUAGAUACCCUGGUAGUCCACGCUGUAAACGAUGAGUGCUAGGUGUUAGACCCUUUCCGGGGUUUAGUGCCGUAGCUAACGCAUUAAGCACUCCGCCUGGGGAGUACGACCGCAAGGUUG
This 550-nucleotide ribosomal RNA is filed under the name uncultured bacterium. RNAcentral's name for it is "bacterial SSU rRNA". It matches the Rfam family "Bacterial small subunit ribosomal RNA", at positions 355 to 896 of the family's 1533-position model. The record is from RNAcentral.